This 512-nucleotide ribosomal RNA is filed under the name Macrocheira kaempferi. RNAcentral describes it as "partial 12S ribosomal RNA". The record is from RNAcentral. Lineage: Eukaryota; Metazoa; Arthropoda; Malacostraca; Decapoda; Inachidae.
AAUUUAAUCAACAUUAGUUUGAAAAAACAAAAAGUGAAAUUAGGUUGUCUUUUAUAAACAAAAAUUAUUGAUAUAAACUGAAGCUAGAAAACUUUUAGAUCUAAACUAGGAUUAGAUACCCUACUAUACUAAAGCUUUAUAGCACAACCUGAGUAUUAAUAGAUAUUGUCUUUAAAUUCAAAGAAUUUGGCGGUAAUUUAGUCUUGUCGGAGGAACCUGUUUUUUAAUCGAUACACCACGAAAAAUCUUGCUUUCUUUUGUUAACCAGCUUGUAUACCGUCAUUAUCAGAUAAUUUUAAAAGAAAUAUUAUUUUGCUUUACAAAGUUAUUAAAAUUAGAUCAAGGUGCAGCCGAUAAGUAAGUCAAAAUGGGUUACAAUAAUUUAAAAUUAUACGGAGCAAGUCUUUAAAAAGAGUUGUAAAGGAGGAUUCGAUUGUAAUAGCGGUUUAGCAUGCCGUGGAGAUAAAAGCUCUAAAUUAUGUACAUAUCGCCCGUCGCUUUCACUCAUAGGU